Molecule: non-coding RNA, 24 nt
Filed under: Cricetulus griseus (Chinese hamster)
Lineage: Eukaryota; Metazoa; Chordata; Mammalia; Rodentia; Cricetidae
Source: RNAcentral
UGAGAUCUGGUGCCUUCUGCUGGC